This 497-nucleotide ribosomal RNA is filed under the name uncultured bacterium. RNAcentral's name for it is "partial 16S ribosomal RNA". It matches the Rfam family "Bacterial small subunit ribosomal RNA", at positions 28 to 507 of the family's 1533-position model. The record is from RNAcentral.
GAUGAACGCUGGCGGCGUGCCUAAUACAUGCAAGUCGAGCGAACAGACGAGGAGCUUGCUCCUCUGACGUUAGCGGCGGACGGGUGAGUAACACGUGGAUAACCUACCUAUAAGACUGGGAUAACUUCGGGAAACCGGAGCUAAUACCGGAUAAUAUAUUGAACCGCAUGGUUCAAUAGUGAAGGACGGUUUUGCUGUCACUUAUAGAUGGAUCCGCGCCGCAUUAGCUAGUUGGUAAGGUAACGGCUUACCAAGGCAACGAUGCGUAGCCGACCUGAGAGGGUGAUCGGCCACACUGGAGCUGAGACACGGUCCAGACUCCUACGGGAGGCAGCAGUAGGGAAUCUUCCGCAAUGGGCGAAAGCCUGACGGAGCAACGCCGCGUGAGUGAUGAAGGUCUUCGGAUCGUAAAACUCUGUUAUUAGGGAAGAACAAAUGUGUAAGUAACUAUGCACGUCUUGACGGUACCUAAUCAGAAAGCCACGGCUAACUACGUG